Pelobates cultripes (western spadefoot toad) is the source of this 240-nucleotide non-coding RNA. The record is from the annotation of a GenBank genome assembly. NCBI's taxonomy places the organism in Eukaryota, Metazoa, Chordata, Amphibia, Anura, Pelobatidae.
GUGCCACGGUUGACUUUUGGCCCAGGGGAGCCAGUAGCUAGUGUCAUCUGUGCUUUCUCGAAGUGAGUUUCUAGCAGGGGCACGUACGCUGUCCGGCGGUCACCCGUCCGAUCCUCCUCCUGCUUUUGGUGCAGCAUAGCCCUUUGCCAUGCUUCCAGUGAGGCCCAGAAACAGGUGAAAACCUCAUCUAACCAUUGCAUAAAAGGGAUAUUGGGGUUGGAAUGGUUCCAUCCAGUUUGC